Molecule: small RNA, 138 nt
Filed under: Escherichia albertii
Lineage: Bacteria; Pseudomonadati; Pseudomonadota; Gammaproteobacteria; Enterobacterales; Enterobacteriaceae
Description: RtT sRNA
Rfam family: RtT RNA
About the family: This family represents a bacterial cis-regulatory element known as RtT RNA.
Source: RNAcentral
GUUGCACACAUCCGGGGGGGGAUGAGAAGCCCCGAGCGGGGUUCGACAACUGGCGAUAGCCAGUUGGACAGCCCGCGAACGCAGUGAACGGGCUGCCCGCAGGGCGAGCGAAGCGAGUCAAUCCCCCCCUCACCGCCA